Equus caballus (horse) is the source of this 895-nucleotide long non-coding RNA. RefSeq lists it as uncharacterized. NCBI's taxonomy places the organism in Eukaryota, Metazoa, Chordata, Mammalia, Perissodactyla, Equidae. The record is from RefSeq and is a predicted model, not a curated record.
CAGGGCCACUCUUCAUCAACAAAGAGGAGGAUUGGUAGCAAAUGUUAGCUUAGGGCUAAUCUUCCUCAAAAAAAAAAAAAAAGAAUGGAUGUAUGAAUAAAUUGACUGGAAAGUUCAGUGUCCAAGACAGAUUGUAGAAUAUGUAGAGUAUGAUGCUUUUGUAUGAAAUAGAGGAUAUGCAUAUAGGUACAAAGAAAUAUUUAUAUAAAAUAUACAAUGAGUAAAUGUAAGCACUUGGAAAAUAUCUGGAAGAAUCACAUAAGGACCUGUGGGAGUGGGACUUCAGUUUUCAUUCCAUGUCUUUCUUGUUUGAAAUCUCAAGUCAGUGACAAACAUGCCGUCGACAAGUGUGUACUGAUGACUUCUUAGCAUUCAGGACUGCACUGGCUUAUGAGGGAUACAGAAGGGCUGGCCAUCUGUGUCUUAGGCCUUGUUUGUGGAGACGUUUGCUCUGUUUUGUUGCCUUGUAUCUGUUUUGAAGAUGGGAAAGAAGGAAAAAGGGGAGUACAGGUGGUUACUAGGUGGGGUUGAAGAAGGGGAGCAGCAAGAUGCCAAGCAGAGCAGAGGGGACCCACUGUGUGGGCUGUGAAUUCCGUUCUCAGGGAGCCUCAUUCUACACAAGGAGACAGUCUAACGUCAAAUGUGGCUCACAAAAAGUGUGUUAAUAGGUGGAAAGACUAUCUCGCAGUUGGACAAUGGAUGUCUGGGACUCGAUCCUUGCUUUCAAAGUUCCCUUGAAAAAGGUAAAUAUUUUGUAAUAUCCCUUCUACUCUCCUGAAGUGAUAUUCGUAGAUGUUUAAAACCUGCUUCCAUACUUAAUUUCAAUGAAAACAAAUCAGUGUAAUGCUCUAACUACAAUAUUAAGAACAAAUAAAAGUAGUUUAUAAUAAAGUAA